AGCGACGUCAAAGCGUAUACAAAGUCGAGUCGGUUUAAGGAUACGUUCGUUGGGUAGGGGAGCGUUCUGUAAGCCUGUGAAGGUGUGUCGUGAGGCAUGCUGGAGGUAUCAGAAGUGCGAAUGCUGACAUAAGUAACGAUAAAGCGGGUGAAAAGCCCGCUCGCCGGAAGACCAAGGGUUCCUGUCCAACGUUAAUCGGGGCAGGGUGAGUCGACCCCUAAGGCGAGGCCGAAAGGCGUAGUCGAUGGGAAACGGGUUAAUAUUCCCGUACUUGGUGUUACUGCGAAGGGGGGACGGAGAAGGCUAUGUUGGCCGGGCGACGGUUGUCCCGGUUUAAGCGUGUAGGUGUGUGUUCCAGGUAAAUCCGGUUCACUUUAACACUGAGGCGUGACGACGAGGCACUACGGUGCUGAAGCAACAAAUGCCCUGCUUCCAGGAAAAGCCUCUAAGCAUCAGGUAACAUCAAAUCGUACCCCAAACCGACACAGGUGGUCAGGUAGAGAAUACCAAGGCGCUUGAGAGAACUCGGGUGAAGGAACUAGGCAAAAUGGUGCCGUAACUUCGGGAGAAGGCACGCUGACACGUAGGUGAAGUGAUUUACUCAUGGAGCUGAAGUCAGUCGAAGAUACCAGCUGGCUGCAACUGUUUAUUAAAAACACAGCACUGUGCAAACACGAAAGUGGACGUAUACGGUGUGACGCCUGCCCGGUGCCGGAAGGUUAAUUGAUGGGGUCAGCGCAAGCGAAGCUCCUGAUCGAAGCCCCGGUAAACGGCGGCCGUAACUAUAACGGUCCUAAGGUAGCGAAAUUCCUUGUCGGGUAAGUUCCGACCUGCACGAAUGGCGUAAUGAUGGCCAGGCUGUCUCCACCCGAGACUCAGUGAAAUUGAACUCGCUGUGAAGAUGCAGUGUACCCGCGGCAAGACGGAAAGACCCCGUGAACCUUUACUAUAGCUUGACACUGAACAUUGAGCCUUGAUGUGUAG
This 984-nucleotide ribosomal RNA is filed under the name Salmonella enterica. Its description in RNAcentral is "partial 23S ribosomal RNA". It matches the Rfam family "Bacterial large subunit ribosomal RNA", at positions 1198 to 2141 of the family's 2925-position model. Lineage: Bacteria; Pseudomonadati; Pseudomonadota; Gammaproteobacteria; Enterobacterales; Enterobacteriaceae. The record is from RNAcentral.